GACGAACGCUGGCGGUGUGCUUAACACAUGCAAGUGGAGCGACGAACCAGAGCUUGCUCUGGGGCAGAGCCGCGAACGGGUGAGUAACACGUGGGUAACCUACCCUGACGACUGGGACAACCCUAGGAAACUCGGGCUAACACCGGAUGUGCUCUCCUCUCACGAGAGAGGCGAGUAAAGGAAGCGUCGGCCUCCGCAUCAGGAGGGGCCUGCGGCCCAUUAGUUUGUUGGUGGGGUAACGGCCUACCGAGACCGCGAUGGGUAGCUGGUCUGAGAGGACGAUCAGCCACACUGGGACUGAGACACGGCCCAGACUCCUACGGGAGGCAGCAGGGGGGAACCUUGCGCAAUGCGCGACAGCGUGACGCAGCAACACCGCGUGGGGGAAGAAGGCCUUCGGGUUGUAAACCCCUUUCAGGAGGGACGAAGGCCGGCCGGUGAAUAGCCGUGCCGGUUGACGGUACCUCCACAAGAAGCCCCGGCUAACUACGUGCCAGCCGCCGCAGUAA
RNAcentral lists this ribosomal RNA (509 nucleotides) under uncultured bacterium. RNAcentral's name for it is "partial 16S ribosomal RNA". It matches the Rfam family "Bacterial small subunit ribosomal RNA", at positions 28 to 523 of the family's 1533-position model. The record is from RNAcentral.